UGCCAUUGGGGGCGUGGCCUCAGACAUGAGUGCCAUAUUGGGGGCGUGGCCUCUGCACCAUUUGGGGGCGUGGCCUGCCUGUUGUCCGCCAUUUUGGGGGUGUGGUCUCAGCAUCAUUAUGGGUGUGGUCUUUGCCUUAUCGGCCAUCUUGGGGGCGUGGCCUCUGCAGCAUUUCCGGGGUGUGGUCUCCAUGUUGUCGGCCAUCUUGUGGGUGUGUUCCGGGCGUGCUGGCGGCCAUCUUGGAGGGCGUGGCCCGACUCAGGCGGCCACCUCGAGGUCCCCCAUGCGCAGGGUGCCGGUGUCGUCACCGGGGCUCAGCCCCCGCCAGCGGGAACCCCCUGGAUCGGGGUGAAAACCCGAAAGUUUGGGCAAAAGGAAACGUUUGGGGGGAAAAAAGGAGAUUUGGGGGGGAUUUGGGUGAAAAAAGGAGAUUUUGGGGUGAAAUUGGGGAUUUUUGGAGUGGAAAAAGGAGAUUUGGGGGGGAAUUGGGGAUUUUUUUGGGUGAAAAAAGAGAUUUUGGGGCAAAAUUGGGGAUUUUUGGGGGUGGAAAAAGGAGAUUUUUGGGGCGAGAUUGGGGAUUUUUUUGGGGUGAAAAAGGAGAUUUUUGGGCAAAAUUGGGGAUUUUUGGGGGUGGAAAAUAAGUUUUGGUGGGAAAUUGGGGAUUUUUUGGGGUGGAAAAAGGAGAUUUUGGGGCAAAAUUGGGGAUUUUUUGGGGUGAAAAAAGGAGAUUUUGGGGCAAAAUUGGGGAUUUUUUGGGGUGAAAAAAGGAGAUUUUGGGGGGAAUUGAGGAAUUUUUUGUUAGAAAUUUGGUGAUUUUGGAGGAUUUGGGGGAAAAUCGGCAGUUUAGGGAUAGGAGGGACAAACUGGGAAAUUUGGGGCAAAAUGAGCAAUUUUUGGAGCAAAGAGGGAAAUUGGAGGGCGGGACUGGGCAAUUUUGGGGAGAAAAAUGUUCAAUUUUGGACUAAAGUGGGAAAUUCGGGGUCAGAGUGGAAAAUUUGGGGUGGAAAUGCGUAACUUUGAGGGGAUAAUAUUAAAUUUUUUUAAAUAAAAAUUGGGAGAUUUGGAUCA
Molecule: long non-coding RNA, 1068 nt
Filed under: Serinus canaria (Common canary)
Lineage: Eukaryota; Metazoa; Chordata; Aves; Passeriformes; Fringillidae
Description: lncRNA (ENSSCAG00000007853.1)
Source: RNAcentral